AUGCUAGUCUCUUUCUGCUGCCUCCUGCACAGGUGUUUGUGGCCAAGAGCAGUGAAGGACUGGCCCCUCAGAAGUGCACGCCCAGCCCUGCUUGGUCCCAGUUCUAGGAUUGGUGGCAGAAAUGAAAAAUCUGAAGUCCUGAGGAAAAAACCAAAGGAGUCACAUCCCUGGGGAUCCCGUCAGGCCCUCCCUUCGAGUUAAAUCUGGUGCCAUCUUGGAAGCAGCACUUUAGCACAAAGGCAGCCGUUUCCAGGGCUGUACCCAAGGCACAUGGAGGUUCCCAGGCUAGGGGUCGAAUCAGAGCUACAGCUGCCAGCUUACACCAGACACAGCAACACACGCUCCAAGCCGCAUCUGUGACCUACACCACAGCUCACGGCAAUGCUGGAUCCUUAACCCACUGAGCAAGGUCAGGGAUCGAACCUGAAUCCUCAUGGAUCCGAGCCACAACAGGAAGACCCAAGAUGUUAAUAUUAACAUCAGUGAAUCCAGAGGAGGAAUAUACUGUUCAAAAUAUGUACUAUUUCAGCUUUUUCACAGAAUUGCGAAGUUUGAACGAAACAGUGUGUAAUUAACUUUUUCCAGAACGUGGAAUUUACCAUCUGGUUGAAGCAGUAAAAUACCUGGCCACUGA
Molecule: long non-coding RNA, 634 nt
Filed under: Sus scrofa (pig)
Lineage: Eukaryota; Metazoa; Chordata; Mammalia; Artiodactyla; Suidae
Description: lncRNA (ENSSSCG00050031570.1)
Source: RNAcentral